CGGAGGAAGCACCAAGUGUCGAAGACACAUUUAGAAUGGCGCUGACUAAAUGCUACCCAGUGUAAACGAGGUGGCGUUACACAUA
Coprococcus sp. CAG:782 is the source of this 85-nucleotide small RNA. It matches the Rfam family "GA-cis RNA". The record is from Rfam. NCBI's taxonomy places the organism in Bacteria, Bacillati, Bacillota, Clostridia, Lachnospirales, Lachnospiraceae.